RNAcentral lists this ribosomal RNA (155 nucleotides) under Erysiphe pedaliacearum. RNAcentral's name for it is "Pseudoidium pedaliacearum 5.8S ribosomal RNA". It matches the Rfam family "5.8S ribosomal RNA". Rfam says of the family: 5.8S ribosomal RNA (5.8S rRNA) is a component of the large subunit of the eukaryotic ribosome. It is transcribed by RNA polymerase I as part of the 45S precursor that also contains 18S and 28S rRNA. The record is from RNAcentral. Lineage: Eukaryota; Fungi; Ascomycota; Leotiomycetes; Helotiales; Erysiphaceae.
AAAACUUUCAACAACGGAUCUCUUGGCUCUGGCAUCGAUGAAGAACGCAGCGAAAUGCGAUAAGUAAUGUGAAUUGCAGAAUUUAGUGAAUCAUCGAAUCUUUGAACGCACAUUGCGCCCCUUGGUAUUCCGAGAGGCAUGCCUGUUCGAGCGUC